AAAAUGCGAUAAGUAAUGUGAAUUGCAGAAUUCAGUGAAUCAUCGAAUCUUUGAACGCACAUUGCGUCCGCCAGUAUUCUGGCGGGCAUGCCUGUUCGAGCGUCAUUUCAACCCUCAAGCCCCCGGGUUUGGUGUUGGGGAUCGGGCUGCGGUUCUACCGCGUCCCGGCCCCGAAAUCUAGUGGCGGUCUCGCUGCAGCCUCCAUUGCGUAGUAGCUAACACCUCGCAACUGGAACGCGGCGCGGCCAAGCCGUUAAACCCCCAACUUCUGAAUGUUGACCUCGGAUCAGGUAGGAAUACCCGCUGAACUUAAGC
This 315-nucleotide unclassified non-coding RNA is filed under the name plant metagenome. Its description in RNAcentral is "partial contains 5.8S ribosomal RNA, internal transcribed spacer 2, and large subunit ribosomal RNA". The stretch from base 1 to 105 matches the Rfam family "5.8S ribosomal RNA", at positions 50 to 154 of the family's 154-position model. The record is from RNAcentral.